This 253-nucleotide ribosomal RNA is filed under the name uncultured prokaryote. RNAcentral's name for it is "partial 16S ribosomal RNA". It matches the Rfam family "Bacterial small subunit ribosomal RNA", at positions 525 to 777 of the family's 1533-position model. The record is from RNAcentral.
ACGUAGGGUGCAAGCGUUGUCCGGAAUUAUUGGGCGUAAAGAGCGUGUAGGCGGCUCGGUAAGUCCGCUCUGAAAGCCCGGGGCUCAACCCCGGGAGGCGGGCGGAUACUGUCGGGCUAGAGUCCGGAAGAGGCGAGUGGAAUUCCUGGUGUAGCGGUGAAAUGCGCAGAUAUCAGGAGGAACACCUAUAGCGAAGGCAGCUCGCUGGGACGGCACUGACGCUGAGACGCGAAGGCGUGGGGAGCAAACAGGA